CCUGGACACAGGUGCUGCAUGGCUGUCGUCAGCUCGUGUCGUGAGAUGUUGGGUUAAGUCCCCGCAACGAGCGCAACCCUUGUCAUUAAUUGCCAUCAUUCAGUUGGGCACUUUAAUGAGACUGCCGGUGACAAACCGGAGGAAGGUGGGGAUGACGUCAAGUCCUCAUGGCCCUUAUGGGUAGGGCUUCACACGUCAUACAAUGGUCGGUACAGAGGGUUGCCAAGCCGCGAGGUGGAGCCAAUCCCAGAAAGCCGAUCGUAGUCCGGAUCGCAGUCUGCAACUCGACUGCGUGAAGUCGGAAUCGCUAGUAAUCGCGGAUCAGCAUGUCGCGGUGAAUACGUUCCCGGGUCUUGUACACACCGCCCGUCACACCAUGGGAGUGGGUUCUACCAGAAGUAGUUAGCCUAACCGUAAGGAGGGCGAUUACUACGGUAGGAUUCAUGACUGGGGU
This 454-nucleotide ribosomal RNA is filed under the name uncultured Rhodocyclaceae bacterium. RNAcentral describes it as "bacterial SSU rRNA". It matches the Rfam family "Bacterial small subunit ribosomal RNA", at positions 1027 to 1481 of the family's 1533-position model. Lineage: Bacteria; Pseudomonadati; Pseudomonadota; Betaproteobacteria; Rhodocyclales; Rhodocyclaceae. The record is from RNAcentral.